RNAcentral lists this ribosomal RNA (523 nucleotides) under uncultured bacterium. Its description in RNAcentral is "bacterial SSU rRNA". It matches the Rfam family "Bacterial small subunit ribosomal RNA", at positions 355 to 894 of the family's 1533-position model. The record is from RNAcentral.
UGGGGAAUUUUGCGCAAUGGGGGAAACCCUGACGCAGCAACGCCGCGUGGAGGAUGAAAUCCCUUGGGAUGUAAACUCCUUUCGAUAGGGAAGAUAAUGACGGUACCUAUAGAAGAAGCCCCGGCUAACUUCGUGCCAGCAGCCGCGGUAAUACGAGGGGGGCAAGCGUUGUUCGGAAUUAUUGGGCGUAAAGGGUGCGUAGGCGGUUUGACAAGUCUGAUGUGAAAUCUAUGGGCUCAACCCAUAGUCUGCAUCGGAAACUGUCGGGCUUGAGUAUGGGAGAGGUGAGUGGAAUUUCCGGUGUAGCGGUGAAAUGCGUAGAUAUCGGAAGGAACACCUGUGGCGAAAGCGGCUCACUGGACCAUUACUGACGCUGAGGCACGAAAGCUAGGGGAGCAAACAGGAUUAGAUACCCUGGUAGUCCUAGCCCUAAACGAUGAUUGCUUGAUGUGGCAGGUACCCAAUCCUGCCGUGUCGAAGCUAACGCGAUAAGCAAUCCGCCUGGGGAGUACGGUCGCAAGGC